AGCCUGCCAGGCGUAAUGAGAACUGCUAAUUCCUCACACAUGGUUCGACUCCAUGCUCGCUC
Molecule: transfer RNA, 62 nt
Filed under: Odorrana andersonii (golden crossband frog)
Lineage: Eukaryota; Metazoa; Chordata; Amphibia; Anura; Ranidae
Description: tRNA-Ser
Source: RNAcentral